CCUACGGGAGGCAGCAGUGGGGAAUUUUGGACAAUGGGCGAAAGCCUGAUCCAGCAAUGCCGCGUGCAGGAUGAAGGCCUUCGGGUUGUAAACUGCUUUUGUACGGAACGAAACGGUCUUUUCUAAUACAGAAGGCUAAUGACGGUACCGUAAGAAUAAGCACCGGCUAACUACGUGCCAGCAGCCGCGGUAAUACGUAGGGUGCAAGCGUUAAUCGGAAUUACUGGGCGUAAAGCGUGCGCAGGCGGUUAUGUAAGACAGUUGUGAAAUCCCCGGGCUCAACCUGGGAAUUGCAUCUGUGACUGCAUAGCUAGAGUACGGUAGAGGGGGAUGGAAUUCCGCGUGUAGCAGUGAAAUGCGUAGAUAUGCGGAGGAACACCGAUGGCGAAGGCAAUCCCCUGGACCUGUACUGACGCUCAUGCACGAAAGCGUGGGGAGCAAACAGGAUUACGAUACCCUGGUAUCCACGCCCUUAAACGGAUCGUACUAGUUGGUUGGUUGUUCUACUCUCUACUCUAGUAACGAACG
This 528-nucleotide ribosomal RNA is filed under the name uncultured bacterium. RNAcentral describes it as "bacterial SSU rRNA". It matches the Rfam family "Bacterial small subunit ribosomal RNA", at positions 338 to 857 of the family's 1533-position model. The record is from RNAcentral.